UGGGGAAUAUUGCACAAUGGAGGAAACUCUGAUGCAGCGAUGCCGCGUGAGGGAAGAAGGUUUUCGGAUUGUAAACCUCUGUCUUCAGGGACGAAAAUGACGGUACCUGACUAAGAAGCCCCGGCUAACUACGUGCCAGCAGCCGCGGUAAUACGUAGGGGGCAAGCGUUAUCCGGAUUUACUGGGUGUAAAGGGAGCGCAGGCGGCGAAGCAAGCCAGAGGUGAAAACCCGGGGCUCAACCCCGAGGAUUGCCUUUGGAACUGUUUUGCUUGAGUGCUGGAGGGGCAGGCGGAAUUCCUGGUGUAGCGGUGAAAUGCGUAGAUAUCAGGAGGAACACCGGUGGCGAAGGCGGCCUGCUGGACAGUAACUGGCGCUGAGGCUCGAAAGCGUGGGGAGCAAACAGGAUUAGAUACCCUGGUAGU
This 423-nucleotide ribosomal RNA is filed under the name uncultured Lachnospiraceae bacterium. RNAcentral describes it as "bacterial SSU rRNA". It matches the Rfam family "Bacterial small subunit ribosomal RNA", at positions 355 to 794 of the family's 1533-position model. Lineage: Bacteria; Bacillati; Bacillota; Clostridia; Lachnospirales; Lachnospiraceae. The record is from RNAcentral.